This 950-nucleotide long non-coding RNA is filed under the name Homo sapiens (human). RNAcentral describes it as "non-protein coding lnc-ZNF699-2:1". Lineage: Eukaryota; Metazoa; Chordata; Mammalia; Primates; Hominidae. The record is from RNAcentral.
UUCUUCUCAAGGUGUCCAAGUUACACAGACUCGCAGAAUCUCACAGGUGUCUUAGAAUUUCUCUUCCUGGGACUCUCAGAGGAUCCAGAACUGCAGCCCGUCCUCGUUGGGCUGUUCCUGUCCAUGUACCUGAUCACGGUGCUGGGGAACCUGCUCAUCAUCCUGGCCGUCAGCUGUGACUCCCACCUCCACACCCCCAUGUACUUCUUCCUCUCCAACUUGUCCUUGGCUGACAUCGGACUCACCUCUGCCACCAUCCCUAAGAUGAUUGUUGAUAUGCAAUCUCACAGCAGAAUCAUCUCCUAUGAGGGCUGCCUGAUGCAGAUGUCUUUAUCUAUUUUGUGUGUAUGAAUGACAUGGUCCUGACUGUGAUGGCCUAUGACCAGUUUGUGGCCAUUUGUCACCCCCUACGCUACCCAGUCAUCAUGAAUCCCCAUCUCUGUGUCUUCUUAGUUUUGGUGUCUUUUAUUCUUAGCCUGUUGAACUCCCAGCUGCACAAUCAGAUUGUGUUACAAUUCACCUGCUUCAAGAAUGUGGAAAUCUUUAAUUUUUUCUGUGAGCCAUCUCAACUUCUCAACCUUGCCUGUUCUGACAGUGUCAUCAAUAACAUAUUCAUGUAUUUAGAUAGUGUUAUAUUUGGUUUUCUUCCCAUCUCAGGGAUCCUUUUGUCUUACUAUAAAAUUGUCUCCUCCAUUCUAAGAAUUCCAUCAUCAGAUGGGAAGUAUAAAGCCUUCUCCACAUGUGGCUCUCACCUGGCAGUUGUUUGCUUAUUUUAUGGAACAGGACUUGGAGCCUACCUCAGUUCAGCUGCGUCCUCUUUCCCCAGGAAGGGUGCGGUCACCUCAGUGAUGUACACUGUGGUCAUCCCUAUGCUGAACCCCUUCAUCUACAGCCUGAGAAACAGGGACAUUAAAAGUGCCCUGUGGAGGCUGCACAGCAGAACAGUCUAA